UCUCAGAUGCGCAGUAAUCACCAGACCACUGCACAUGGAUUGAGAUGCCAUCUGACUGAGGAGCUGAAAAUCAGACGACAGAGGUGCAGCUGUUAACCUGAAGUUGGAAGACGUGCACAUCGAUGGAACCACUAAAACUUCUUUCAACAGGUUGAUCUACAAACUGUGAGUGCUUUUUUGUUAUGGCAACUGUCCCAUCUGUCCUUUAUUUUCCAUUUCCUCUUUCCAUCUCUUGAAAUUGGUCUCCACAUGUAGGAUUAUAACGGUACACAAAGCUUCAUAGAAUACCAGUUUUGAGGUUUGAUUCAAAGUCCUUCAAUACCAGCUCAGAAUUGACCAUUAAACCAGCAGCUGAAGAAUUCCAGGUUUUCUGACCAACUGUACCGUUCCAUCCUGCUGUGGUCAGUGUGCAAAUUCAUAGGAACUGUAGUGUAGCUGUGGGCAUCUUUACAUACAGACUGUGCAGUGUGGUCAAGCUGCCUUGUGGCUCAGCAGUUGCAACGAGGCAGCUUCACCUGACAAUUGAACUCUCUCAUACUGAGCUGUCAUCUCCUGCAUGUCCAGCACCUCUUUAUAUCUGCACCUGUCUGUCAAGCAUGAUCACUACAUCUGCCACGCCUCUGUGGCUGCACUACCUGUGGUAUUCCUUGUUCUUCCCUCAUUCACCAAGCUGAUGCCAGAAGAUGGAGCUGCAGCAGGAACUUCCAGAGACGAUGACUGGAAAUGGAGUCUUCAGAGUCUAUGAAAGUUCUCAGAUGCGCAGCAAUCACCAG
Amphiprion ocellaris (clown anemonefish) is the source of this 773-nucleotide long non-coding RNA. RefSeq lists it as uncharacterized. NCBI's taxonomy places the organism in Eukaryota, Metazoa, Chordata, Actinopteri, Pomacentridae. The record is from RefSeq and is a predicted model, not a curated record. The transcript has 4 exons.